UGCCUGGCUCCCUGUAUGCC
RNAcentral lists this non-coding RNA (20 nucleotides) under Arabidopsis thaliana (thale cress). RNAcentral also lists the same sequence under 5 other names. Lineage: Eukaryota; Viridiplantae; Streptophyta; Magnoliopsida; Brassicales; Brassicaceae. The record is from RNAcentral.